Molecule: long non-coding RNA, 2428 nt
Filed under: Salvia miltiorrhiza (redroot sage)
Lineage: Eukaryota; Viridiplantae; Streptophyta; Magnoliopsida; Lamiales; Lamiaceae
Description: long non-coding RNA (SMIL_LNC006359)
Source: RNAcentral
AUAAUUAUCUAUGGAAGAAGUUCACUCUAAUUCCGUAUAUAUUUAUAUAUAUCAAAAUCUUUAUCUUAUGUACUAACUAAACUAAACUCUAAAUAUAAAUAAAAAUUAAUUAAAGUUCUAAUUCUUCUCCAACUCAAUCAAUUAUCUCCUCACAACUAACCUCAAAGCCAUCCUUCCGCACCAUCGCAUACAACCUCGCCGCCGCUGUGAGCCUCCGGUCCGCCGCGCUUCACCGUUGCUCUUAGUCUUUUUUCCGGUCGCCGCCUCCCCUCUUCGAAGGCCGGUUGAGGUUAGUUUUGAUUCUCGCUUCGUCUGUAAUAAGCUUGAUAUCUGAAUACUUUUCUGGUUAUAAUAUGUCCAGGUCACCCGACAAGUUAAACACUUCGAAGAGAACCAUUUCGUUCGAUUUCUCGCUUAAUUAGUCGGGCAGAGAAGCUUGAAGGUGAUCUAUCAAGGUAAGGAUAUCCAUGUUUUGGUCAUGGAAGGAUAUAUGCAAAUAAGAUUGACAUUAUUAUGGAUUAAAGAAGCAAUAUUUUGUUUGCCAAUAUGCUCCGCAGGUCGCCGCCGUCGACUGGAAUUUCAUAAUUUCCUCCGCACAUGGGUACGCCUAUGAUAUUAUAUUCAAAUUUCAGGAGAUUAUAUUUUGUUUUCAGUAUGAAUAUGAUACAAAAUAGUUUGCGAUUUUAUGGUAUUUGAUGGUUUGUAUUUCUCAUUGCUCAAUAUCUAAGAUUAUCAAUCCAAAUAAUAAACUAAGAUAUAGAUUCAGACUCUCUCAAAAUUAUAUCUCCAUAACUUCUCUCAAGAACGUAAACUUUGCAGCAUGAAUUUUAAACAUUUAUUUGUUUCCAAAUUGGAUGUCCUAUGACCUUGUAAGCAAAAAAAAUAUGCAUGAGAUGUUUUACGGGUCGAUAUCUAAAUAUAAAUCGAUAGUAAAUUAUAUAUUUAUAAAUUUACUAGCAGCUAGAACAUAGUAUGUAUUAUUGAAUGUGGCUUAAUUGUGUAAUUUAUCAAAAUAAAAUUAGUAAGGCAUAGUUAUAUUUUAAUUGAUCACUAUCCUUUUUUCUGUAAUCGUCGGAUACCUACCAAUUACCAUAUUCUUGAUGUAUAGUCUUGAUACGAACAGAGAAGAAAAGAGUCGGUUUUACACUUUACCUUUACCUGGUAGGUUGCAUGAAACAAUAAGUACUAUAAUUCGACGCUCUAAGAAGUAGAAACUUAAGAAAUAGUUCUGUUUGCUUAUAUAUAUAUAUGUAUAUAUAUUUAUUUUAUAUAUAUGUCUUUGUGUCAUGUUACGAGAUGGCUGCUGAUAUUCUUCCAUCUCAUUUUGCCGCUGAUGGAAGAAAGAGUUUGCUUCAAAUUCUUGCCCAUGUAGUUUUUUUUUUUCACGGGAGUCAUGUAGUUUUUUUGUCUUUGUUUUUUUUGGGGGGUCUUUUUUUUUGUUAUCUACUUAAUUAUGGGUUUAAUUUAUCAUUUUUGCUUAACCCCUUUGAGCUCCUAAGAGACCUCCUAUCAUCAUGUUUGGAGUUUUCUAAUUUCUUAGCACUGGCAUAUAUAUUACAAGAGGCAUAUAUAUUGUUUAUUUCAUACUGCACACACACACACACACACACACAUAUAUACAUAUAUAUAUAUAAUAGGAUUGGAUUUUGUAAUCGCAGUUGCAUUUCAUUUUUAUCAACACUUACAUAUAUGACACAUUCAAAUGAUCGAGCAUUAUAUAUUUAUGAAAUUUGGUGUGCCUAUUAUUGUAUAUGGUUGUGGGGUGGAUUUAGGCUUUGAUGAGGAAUCAAAAAAUGAGAUUCAUACCAAGAAUUUCUAUUAGUAGAAGAAAAUUGAUCUCAUGUAGUAUAUUUCACCUCUCAUAAAUUUCAUAAUUUUAAUUGUCUUUGUUGUUUUUGGAAAUAGCAAUAUGCAUUUUUAAUUUUUAAAAUAUUUGUUGAUUUUAAUAUACAUUUUUAGUAUAGAUUGCUAAUUUGUUAUUACAUUUGACAAGAAGUAGAAAAUAUUUCAUUUUCAUGAUAGAAAACCAAAAAAUAAACUUUAUUAUACCAUAUUUGCAGGACACAUGUAUCCAAAGGUUAUGAAUGUUCAGUUAUGUCCUCAAAUUUUUGUUUUGGUCAUUUAGGCUGAUUUAAAAGUUAUGCUAAAUUUUUGGGUUUGUAGAAUGACCUUUAUUUAAUUGUGAAAGUUAGGCUUUGAUAAAAAUAUAAUGAUAUAGUAAUUGUUUUGCUGCCAUAUCAAUAUGUUUAUAUUUAUUUGAUUAGAGUUAUACUUAUAAUUAUUAUUAACAUUCCUUUUUGUUGUUAUUUGUUUAUUAUUAUUUAUUAUUUUUGUGUUACAGAAUAAAAUUUUUUUGCAGGAUUUUAAAAUUUAUAUACACUAACUAUGAACAUGGAAGUUACAUUGCGCAAAACAAGCUCAUCUUCAG